This 434-nucleotide ribosomal RNA is filed under the name uncultured Lachnospiraceae bacterium. RNAcentral's name for it is "partial 16S ribosomal RNA". It matches the Rfam family "Bacterial small subunit ribosomal RNA", at positions 341 to 792 of the family's 1533-position model. The record is from RNAcentral. Lineage: Bacteria; Bacillati; Bacillota; Clostridia; Lachnospirales; Lachnospiraceae.
ACGGAAGGCAGCAGUGGGGAAUAUUGCACAAUGGGGGAAACCCUGAUGCAGCGACGCCGCGUGAGCGAAGAAGUAUUUCGGUAUGUAAAGCUCUAUCAGCAGGGAAGAAAAUGACGGUACCUGACUAAGAAGCCCCGGCUAACUACGUGCCAGCAGCCGCGGUAAUACGUAGGGGGCAAGCGUUAUCCGGAUUUACUGGGUGUAAAGGGAGCGUAGACGGCAAGGUAAGUCUGAAGUGAAAUGCCGGGGCUCAACCCCGGAACUGCUUUGGAAACUAUCUCGCUCGAGCACCGGAGGGGUAAGCGGAAUUCCUAGUGUAGCGGUGAAAUGCGUAGAUAUUAGGAGGAACACCAGUGGCGAAGGCGGCUUACUGGACGGUAACUGACGUUGAGGCUCGAAAGCGUGGGGAGCAAACAGGAUUAGAUACCCUGGUA